GGAUCCAGACUUUGAUCAUGGCUCAGGAUGAACGCUGGCGGCGCAUUUAAGACAUGCAAGUCUAACGAAAAUUUACGCUUAAAGAGUUGAUUAGUUUACUAAGAGAUGAUUUAUUGUAAAUUUUAGUGGCGGACUGGUGAGUAAUACAUAGGUAAUCUGCCUUUUAGAGGGGAAUAACUAGGAGAAAUCCUAGCUAAUACCGCGUAAGACCACACUUAGGCAUCUAAGAGAGGUCAAAGGAGUAAUCCGCUAAAAGAUGAGCCUGUGGCUGAUUAGUUAGUUGGUGGGGUAAGAGCCUACCAAGACGAUGAUCAGUAGCCGAGCUGAGAGGCUGGCCGGCCACAUUGGGACUGAGAUACGGCCCAGACUCCUACGGGAGGCAGCAGUUGGGAAUAUUGGACAAUGGAGGAAACUCUGAUCCAGUGACGCCGCGUGAAGGAAGAAGGUCUUCGGAUUGUAAACUUAUUUUAUCAGGGAAGAAGAAAGUGACAGUACCUGAAGAAAAAGGACCGGCAAACUACGUGCCAGCAGCCGCGGUAAUACGUAGGGUCCAAGCGUUAUCCGGAUUUACUGGGUGUAAAGGGCGAGUAGACGGCGCUGUAAGUCAGCUGUGAAAACUUAGGGCUCAACCUUAAGCCUGCAGCUGAAACUGUAGUGCUAGAGUGCAGGAGAGGUAAGCGGAAUUCCUAGUGUAGCGGUGAAAUGCGUAGAUAUUAGGAGGAACACCAGUGGCGAAGGCGGCUUACUGGACUGUAACUGACGUUGAGGCGCGAAAGUGUGGGGAGCAAACAGGAUUAGAUACCCUGGUAGUCCACACCGUAAACGAUGGAUACUAGGUGUAGGCGAGAUAUCGUCUGUGCCGGCGCAAACGCAAUAAGUAUCCCACCUGGGGAGUACGGCCGCAAGGUUGCAACUCAAAUGAAUUGACGG
Molecule: ribosomal RNA, 930 nt
Filed under: uncultured Bacillota bacterium
Lineage: Bacteria; Bacillati; Bacillota
Description: bacterial SSU rRNA
Rfam family: Bacterial small subunit ribosomal RNA
Source: RNAcentral